CCUACGGGUGGCAGCAGUGAGGAAUAUUGGUCAAUGGGCGCGAGCCUGAACCAGCCAAGUAGCGUGAAGGAUGACUGCCCUACGGGUUGUAAACUUCUUUUAUCAAGGAAUAACGUGAGGCACGUGUGCCUUUUUGUAUGUACUUUAUGAAUAAGGAUCGGCUAACUCCGUGCCAGCAGCCGCGGUAAGUCGGAGGGUCCGAGCGUUAUCCGGAUUUAUUGGGGUUAAAGGGAGCGUAGAUGGGUGUGCAAGUCUGUAGUGAAAGCCCGUGGCUCAACCCUUGAACUGCCGUUGAAACUGGAGUGCUUGAGUAGAGGAGAGGCAGGCGGAAUUCGUGGUGUAGCGGUGAAAUGCGUAGAUAUCACGAGGAACACCGGUUGCGAAGGCAGCCUACUGGACAGCAACUGACGUUGAGGCUCGAAAGCGUGGGGAGCAAACAGGAUUAGAUACCCGUGUAGUC
This 460-nucleotide ribosomal RNA is filed under the name uncultured bacterium. Its description in RNAcentral is "partial 16S ribosomal RNA". It matches the Rfam family "Bacterial small subunit ribosomal RNA", at positions 338 to 795 of the family's 1533-position model. The record is from RNAcentral.